Molecule: ribosomal RNA, 206 nt
Filed under: uncultured bacterium
Lineage: Bacteria
Description: partial 16S ribosomal RNA
Rfam family: Bacterial small subunit ribosomal RNA
Source: RNAcentral
CGCGUAGGCGGUUUCAUAUGUCUGAUGUGAAAUCCCCCGGCUUAACUGGGGAAGUGCAUCAGAAACUAUGGAGCUGGAGUGCAGAAGAGGAUAGCGGAAUUCCCGGAGUAGAGGUGAAAUUCGUAGAUACCGGGAGGAACACCUGAGGCGAAGGCGGCUAUCUGGUCUGUAACUGACGCUGAAGCGCGAAAGCACGGGAGCAAACA